Non-coding RNA from Parelaphostrongylus tenuis, 72 nucleotides. NCBI's taxonomy places the organism in Eukaryota, Metazoa, Nematoda, Chromadorea, Rhabditida, Metastrongylidae. The record is from the annotation of a GenBank genome assembly.
GCUUUGAUGGUGUAGUGGUAAAGUACGCGUCCCGGAUAGAAUGAAACGCGGGUUCGAUUCCCGCUUGAAGCU